AUACGGAGGAUCCGAGCGUUAUCCGGAUUUAUUGGGUUAAAAGGGUGCGCAGGCGGCCAUUUAAGUCAGCGGUUAAAUCGUGGGGCUCAACCCCAUUCUGCCGUUGAUACUGGGAGGCUUGAUUGCGGUCGAGGUAGGCGGAAUUCCUUGUGUAGCGGUGAAAUGCAUAGAUAUGACGAAGAACACCGAUUGCGUAGGCAGCUGACCAGACCGCAAAUGACGCUCAUGCACGAAAGUGCGGGGAUCGAACAGGAUUAGAUACCCUGGUAGUCCGCACAGUAAACGAUGAAUACUUGUUUUCGGCGAUAUAAUGUCGGAGGCAAAGCGAAAGCGAUAAGUAUUCCACCUGGGGAGUACGCCGGCAACGGUGAAACUCAAAUGAAUUGACGGGG
RNAcentral lists this ribosomal RNA (392 nucleotides) under uncultured bacterium. RNAcentral's name for it is "partial 16S ribosomal RNA". It matches the Rfam family "Bacterial small subunit ribosomal RNA", at positions 523 to 918 of the family's 1533-position model. The record is from RNAcentral.